Long non-coding RNA from Bufo gargarizans (Asiatic toad), 664 nucleotides. RefSeq lists it as uncharacterized. NCBI's taxonomy places the organism in Eukaryota, Metazoa, Chordata, Amphibia, Anura, Bufonidae. The record is from RefSeq and is a predicted model, not a curated record. The transcript has 3 exons.
GCAGGUUUAGGUUACCGCACUGUAACCUGAGGCGGCGGAGGAGAGACGGACUCUUUCACUGAAAACCACAAAGCAGACAGGCCCCAGAGCGGCUGACAGAGGAGCGUGCGGGCCCCGGGAGCGGAGGGCCACAGCAGGAGCCGUCACCCUAUAUGAUGUACAGUCGGCCCUGUAAGUGCAGAUUCAGGCAGGACACAUCCCCAACUGCAGGAUCUCAAAAUGUCCCGUCUAGUUAGAGGAAGGGGGGAAGGUCUCACUACGAGGACCCCAUAAUCGGGGGACACUCAGUGGGCACACCUGAGAGGUAGAUGGUAGACGGGCCCUCUGACAAUCCUCAGAGUAGAGGGCUGCUCUGAGGCGCUGUCCAUAAAGGGGCAUGUGACAUCAUAAAGCUGUGAUGCCACAGGGUAUAUAAAGAGAACACUGGGCCCGGCAGCCAUUUGCAAUCUGCUCCUUGGCAGAGGAAGAGCCCAGCACGUCUUCGCCAUGCCACCUAGAAGGAAGAGAGUCAGCGGCGCGCCUAGAAGGAGGCGCAGAUACCGGCGGACCGGCCCCUAUCAGCACCAGCAGAAAAAAGUUCACAGGCGCAGACGUCAUCGUCACUAAAGUCAAUGGGUGUGAAGAAGGAAAAGAACGUAUCUCGCUCACAAUCCCCAGUCACUGC